UUUUUGUUUUUUUUCUUUUUUGUAAUGCCCCAGUUGGUUGUUCUGCUGAUUCUCGAGAUGCAGCUGAGUGAUCUUCUUUUCUUGCUCAAGAAGUCGGGAAAUCUCGUCAGGAAUCCCUUCAACAUCAUCUUCUUCCGCUUCAAUUACAGGGAAUUCAAAGUUGGGAGAUGGCGUUGGAUCAUUAUGUUCAAUGGGUUUAAGAAUCAACCUGCAU
RNAcentral lists this long non-coding RNA (214 nucleotides) under Lathyrus oleraceus (garden pea). Its description in RNAcentral is "Pisum sativum (pea) long non-coding RNA (PSAT_LNC039149)". The record is from RNAcentral. Lineage: Eukaryota; Viridiplantae; Streptophyta; Magnoliopsida; Fabales; Fabaceae.